This 367-nucleotide ribosomal RNA is filed under the name uncultured bacterium. Its description in RNAcentral is "partial 16S ribosomal RNA". It matches the Rfam family "Bacterial small subunit ribosomal RNA", at positions 355 to 733 of the family's 1533-position model. The record is from RNAcentral.
UGGGGAAUAUUGCACAAUGGGCGAAAGCCUGAUGCAGCGACGCCGCGUGAGGGAUGACGGCCUUCGGGUUGUAAACCUCUUUCAGCAGGGAAGAAGCGAAAGUGACGGUACCUGCAGAAGAAGCGCCGGCUAACUACGUGCCAGCAGCCGCGGUAAUACGUAGGGCGCAAGCGUUGUCCGGAAUUAUUGGGCGUAAAGAGCUCGUAGGCGGUUAGUCGCGUCUGCUGUGAAAAUCUCGAGGCUCAACCUCGGGCUUGCAGUGGGUACGGGCUGACUAGAUGCGGUAGGGGAUGACUGGAAUUCCUGGUGUAGCGGUGGAAUGCGCAGAUAUCAGGAGGAACACCGAUGGCGAAGGCAGGUCACUGGG